CAGCCGCCACGGUAAUACAGAGGGUGCAAGCGUUAAUCGGAAUUACUGGGCGUAAAGCGCGCGUAGGUGGUUCGCCAAGUUGGAUGUGAAAUCCCCGGGCUCAACCUGGGAACUGCAUCCAAAACUGGCGAGCUAGAGUAUGGUAGAGGGUGGUGGAAUUUCCUGUGUAGCGGUGAAAUGCGUAGAUAUAGGAAGGAACACCAGUGGCGAAGGCGACUACCUGGACUGAUACUGACACUGAGGUGCGAAAGCGUGGGGAGCAAACAGGAUUAGAGACCCCCGUAGUCCCUGUCUCUUAUAA
Molecule: ribosomal RNA, 301 nt
Filed under: uncultured bacterium
Lineage: Bacteria
Description: partial 16S ribosomal RNA
Rfam family: Bacterial small subunit ribosomal RNA
Source: RNAcentral